GCGUGGAUGAAGAAGGCCUUCGGGUUGUAAAGUCCUUUCGUGGGGGACGAAAAGGUGGUUCCUAAUACGAGCUGCUGUUGACGUGAACCCAAGAAGAAGCACCGGCUAACUCCGUGCCAGCAGCCGCGGUAAUACGGGGGGUGCAAGCGUUAAUCGGAAUCACUGGGCGUAAAGGGUGCGUAGGCGGUACGUUAGGUCUGUCGUGAAAUCCCCGGGCUCAACCUGGGAAUGGCGGUAGAAACCGGCGCACUAGAGUAUGGGAGAGGGUGGUGGAAUUCCAGGUGUAGCGGUGAAAUGCGUAGAGAUCUGGAGGAACAUCAGUGGCGAAGGCGGCCACCUGGCCCAAUACUGACGCUGAGGCACGAAAGCGUGGGGAGCAAACAGGAUUAGAUACCCUGGUAGUCCACGCCCUAAACGAUGAAUACUAGAUGUUUGGUACCUAGCGUACUGAGUGUCGUAGCUAACGCGAUAAGUAUUCCGCCUGGGA
This 487-nucleotide ribosomal RNA is filed under the name bacterium A4E9. RNAcentral describes it as "bacterial SSU rRNA". It matches the Rfam family "Bacterial small subunit ribosomal RNA", at positions 399 to 878 of the family's 1533-position model. The record is from RNAcentral.